Molecule: non-coding RNA, 131 nt
Filed under: Polytomella parva
Lineage: Eukaryota; Viridiplantae; Chlorophyta; Chlorophyceae; Chlamydomonadales; Chlamydomonadaceae
Source: RNAcentral
CUCUCGGCGACGCGGCCGCUGCAUUGGUCGUUAAGAAGAUGACAACGGUUGGACUGGAGGGUGGAGGUUUAGGGAUAGAGAAGAGGGGAGGUGAAGAAAGAGGAGAGAAAAACAGCAACAGCAACAGCAAC